UGGGGAAUAUUGGACAAUGGACCAAAAGUCUGAUCCAGCAAUUCUGUGUGCGCGGUGACGUUUUUCGGAAUGUAAAGUGCUUUCAGUUGGGAAGAAAAAAAUGACGGUACCAACAGAAGAAGUGACGGCUAAAUACGUGCCAGCAGCCGCGGUAAUACGUAUGUCACAAGCGUUAUCCGGAUUUAUUGGGCGUAAAGCGCAUCUAGGUGGUUAUGUAAGUCUGAUGUGAAAAUGCAGGGCUCAACUCUGUAUUGCGUUGGAAACUGCAUGACUAGAGUACUGGAGAGGUAAGCGGAACUACAAGUGUAGAGGUGAAAUUCGUAGAUAUUUGUAGGAAUGCCGAUGGGGAAGCCAGCUUACUGGACAGAUACUGACGCUAAAGCGCGAAAGCGUGGGUAGCAAACAGGAUUAGAUACCCUGGUAGUCCACGCCGUAAACGAUGAUUACUAGGUGUUGGGGGUCGAACCUCAGCGCCCAAGCUAACGCGAUAAGUAAUCCGCCUGGGGAGUACGUACGCAAGUAUG
This 524-nucleotide ribosomal RNA is filed under the name uncultured bacterium. RNAcentral describes it as "bacterial SSU rRNA". It matches the Rfam family "Bacterial small subunit ribosomal RNA", at positions 355 to 896 of the family's 1533-position model. The record is from RNAcentral.